Molecule: ribosomal RNA, 254 nt
Filed under: uncultured bacterium
Lineage: Bacteria
Description: partial 16S ribosomal RNA
Rfam family: Bacterial small subunit ribosomal RNA
Source: RNAcentral
UACGGAGGGUGCGAGCGUUGUCCGGAAUCAUUGGGCGUAAAGGGCGCGUAGGUGGCCACUUCAAGCGUGCGGUGAAAGUCGGGGGCUCAACCCCUGAUCGGCCGUGCGAACUGGGGGGCUGGAGCACUGUAGAGGCAGGCGGAAUUCCGGGUGUAGCGGUGGAAUGCGUAGAGAUCCGGAAGAACACCGAUGGCGAAGGCAGGUCUCUGGGCUGACACUGACGCUCAUGCACGAAAGCGUGGGGAGCAAACAGG